Molecule: ribosomal RNA, 302 nt
Filed under: uncultured bacterium
Lineage: Bacteria
Description: partial 16S ribosomal RNA
Rfam family: Bacterial small subunit ribosomal RNA
Source: RNAcentral
GCAGCCGCCGCGGUAAUACGUAGGGUGCAAGCGUUAAUCGGAAUUACUGGGCGUAAAGCGUGCGCAGGCGGUUAUAUAAGACAGAUGUGAAAUCCCCGGGCUCAACCUGGGAACUGCAUUUGUGACUGUAUAGCUAGAGUACGGCAGAGGGGGAUGGAAUUCCGCGUGUAGCAGUGAAAUGCGUAGAUAUGCGGAGGAACACCGAUGGCGAAGGCAAUCCCCUGGGCCUGUACUGACGCUCAUGCACGAAAGCGUGGGGAGCAAACAGGAUUAGAUACCCCGGUAGUCCCUGUCUCUUAUAA